ACGCCAGUAGCUCAAUUGGUAGAGUAGCGGUCGCCAAAACCGUCGGUUGGGGGUUCGAGUCCCUGCUGGCGUG
Molecule: transfer RNA, 73 nt
Filed under: Verrucomicrobiota bacterium
Lineage: Bacteria; Pseudomonadati; Verrucomicrobiota
Also listed under: 1 other name
Description: Verrucomicrobia bacterium tRNA-Trp
Rfam family: tRNA
About the family: Transfer RNA (tRNA) molecules are approximately 80 nucleotides in length.
Source: RNAcentral